UUUUUUUUUUUUUUUUUUUUUUUUUCC
This 27-nucleotide non-coding RNA is filed under the name Alexandrium minutum. Lineage: Eukaryota; Dinophyceae; Gonyaulacales; Pyrocystaceae. The record is from RNAcentral.